CCAUCCUGUUAGUAAUUUCCUCCUUUUAAAGCUUUACUCUAUUAACAACCAACAUCAGACAACCAUAUCGCGUAGACUCUCACCUGCCCAGUGCCAGGUGUGUGUGUCGUGGGUGGGAGGGAAGGGAGGGGGCAGUGAGGGCAGCUGGGCAUUUGCCUGACAGUGACCUAACAAACACAUUUUAAAACUGAGAUUAUAUGACUGUAUAUUUAUUUGUGGCAUGGGGUGGGGAGGUUGAUGGAGAUUACUAGUCAAAGGUGCUACAAACUGCCCAGGCUACUCCUUGGCACCACUGGGAACAGUGCUUUCUCUGCUUCAAUCCAGACUUUCAGAAAUUAACAUCCAUUAAAAAAUGCUGAGGAAGUACUGCAUAAUCAAGGAUUCUGUAUACUGACUUAAAAGAUGUUAUCCGUGGUCAGCUGCGGUCCAGAAGCAGAUGAUCUUCCUUCUGACAUAUUGUCAGAAAGUCAGUAGUAGUCUGACACUACAUUACCAAGUCCACACCAUUCAUGUCACUUCAUCUCAUCACGGAGGCAUUUUAUCAUCUCGCAUUAUCAAAAGAACAAGGGUGAUGGCAGCUUGGAAGCUGCGUUGGCAAAGAAAGGUCUGGCCAAGCGAGAAGGUCUGGACAUUUUAAACAGCAGCAAAAAACAACAAUAAAAGGAACCAAC
Molecule: long non-coding RNA, 671 nt
Organism: Leopardus geoffroyi (Geoffroy's cat)
Lineage: Eukaryota; Metazoa; Chordata; Mammalia; Carnivora; Felidae
Exons: 4
Source: RefSeq, a predicted model, not a curated record